UACGGGGGGGGUAAGCGUUGUUCGGAUUCACUGGGCGUAAAGGGUGCGCAGGCGGCCAUGUGUGUGAGGCGUGAAAGCCCGGGGCUUAACCCCGGAAUUGCACCUCAAACUACAUGGCUAGAGCAUUGGAGAGGGUAGCAGAAUUCAUGGUGUAGCAGUGAAAUGCGUAGAGAUCGGGAGGAACACCGGCGGCGAAGGCGGCUGCCUGGACCAGUCCUGACGCUGAGGCGCGAAAGCUAGGGGAGCAAACAGG
Molecule: ribosomal RNA, 253 nt
Filed under: uncultured bacterium
Lineage: Bacteria
Description: partial 16S ribosomal RNA
Rfam family: Bacterial small subunit ribosomal RNA
Source: RNAcentral